AACAGGUUAAUAUUCCUGUACUUGGUGUUACUGCGAAGGGGGGACGGAGAAGGCUAUGUUGGCCGGGCGACGGUUGUCCCGGUUUAAGCGUGUAGGCUGGUUUUCCAGGCAAAUCCGGAAAAUCAAGGCUGAGGCGUGAUGACGAGGCACUACGGUGCUGAAGCAACAAAUGCCCUGCUUCCAGGAAAAGCCUCUAAGCAUCAGGUAACAUCAAAUCGUACCCCAAACCGACACAGGUGGUCAGGUAGAGAAUACCAAGGCGCUUGAGAGAACUCGGGUGAAGGAACUAGGCAAAAUGGUGCCGUAACUUCGGGAGAAGGCACGC
RNAcentral lists this ribosomal RNA (325 nucleotides) under Escherichia coli. Its description in RNAcentral is "partial 23S ribosomal RNA". It matches the Rfam family "Bacterial large subunit ribosomal RNA", at positions 1424 to 1751 of the family's 2925-position model. Lineage: Bacteria; Pseudomonadati; Pseudomonadota; Gammaproteobacteria; Enterobacterales; Enterobacteriaceae. RNAcentral also lists the same sequence under 2 other names. The record is from RNAcentral.